GCUUUCGUGGCGUAGUAGUCAACACACUCGACGCGUAACCGAGAGGUCCAUGGUUCGAUUCCCGGCGAAGGCG
Molecule: non-coding RNA, 73 nt
Organism: Stegodyphus mimosarum
Lineage: Eukaryota; Metazoa; Arthropoda; Arachnida; Araneae; Eresidae
Source: Rfam